Molecule: ribosomal RNA, 481 nt
Filed under: uncultured bacterium
Lineage: Bacteria
Description: partial 16S ribosomal RNA
Rfam family: Bacterial small subunit ribosomal RNA
Source: RNAcentral
AAUGAACGCUGGCGGCAUGCCUUACACAUGCAAGUCGAACGGUAACAGGUCUUCCUAUGCUGACUAGCGGCGGACGGGGGCGUAAUACAUCCGAACGUGCCCGAUCGCUGUGGAUAACGAAGCGCAAGCUUUGCUAAUACCUCAUACGAUCUACUGUUGAAAGCGGGGUAUCUCCGGACCUCGCGCGGACGUUGCGGCCGCUGGUAGAUUAGUUCGUUGGUGGGAUACAAGCUUACCAGGCCGACGAUCUGUAGCUCGUCUGUGAGGAUGAGCAGCCACACUGGACCUGAGACACGGCCCAGACUCCUAGGGGAGGCAGAGGUGGGGAAUUUUGGACAAUGGGCGAAAGCUUGCGCCAGCAAGGCGGGGUGGAGGAGGAAGGCCUCCGGGUGGUAAACUGCUUUUGUACGGAACGAAAAGGUGCCUUCUAAUAAAGGGCGCUCAGACGGGUACCGUAAGAAUAAGCACGGGCAAACUACGU